GGGCCCUUAGCUCAGUUGGUUAGAGCAUCCGACUCAUAAUCGGCAGGUCCCGUGUUCAAGUCACGGAGGGCCCACCA
Molecule: transfer RNA, 77 nt
Filed under: Moritella yayanosii
Lineage: Bacteria; Pseudomonadati; Pseudomonadota; Gammaproteobacteria; Alteromonadales; Moritellaceae
Also listed under: 5 other names
Description: tRNA-Met
Rfam family: tRNA
About the family: Transfer RNA (tRNA) molecules are approximately 80 nucleotides in length. Their secondary structure includes four short double-helical elements and three loops (D, anti-codon, and T loops). Further hydrogen bonds mediate the characteristic L-shaped molecular structure. tRNAs have two regions of fundamental functional importance: the anti-codon, which is responsible for specific mRNA codon recognition, and the 3' end, to which the tRNAs corresponding amino acid is attached (by aminoacyl-tRNA synthetases). tRNAs cope with the degeneracy of the genetic code in two manners: having more than one tRNA (with a specific anti-codon) for a particular amino acid; and 'wobble' base-pairing, i.e. permitting non-standard base-pairing at the 3rd anti-codon position.
Source: RNAcentral